GAAUUCACUAGUGAUUUCUGGUUGAUCCUGCCAGACCCGACUGCUAUCAGAGUGGGACUAAGCCAUGCGAGUCGACGUAGCAAUACGUGGCGAACGGCUCAGUAACACGUAGUCAACAUGCCCAGGGGAUGUGGAUAAUCUCGGGAAACUGAGAAUAAACCACGAUAGGUCACGAUUUCUGGAAUGGAUCUUGGCUUAAAUCUACAUGGCCCCUGGAUUGGACUGCGGCCGAUCAGGCUGUUGGUGAGGUAAUGGCCCACCAAACCUAUAACCGGUACGGGCUCUGAGAGGAGGAGCCCGGAGAUGGGCACUGAGACAAGGGCCCAGGCCCUAUGGGGCGCAGCAGGCGCGAAACCUCUGCAAUAGGCGAAAGCCUGACAGGGUUACUCUGAGUGAUUUCCGCUAAGGGGAUCUUUUGGCACCUCUAAAAAUGGUGCAGAAUAAGGGGUGGGCAAGUCUGGUGUCAGCCGCCGCGGUAAUACCAGCACCCCGAGUGGUCGGGACGAUUAUUGGGCCUAAAGCAUCCGUAGCCGGUUCUGCAAGUCUUCCGUUAAAUCCAGCCGCUCAACGGAUGGGCCGCGGAGGAUACUAUAGGACUAGGAGGCGGGAGAGGCAAGCGGUACUCAGUGGGUAGGGGUAAAAUCCUUUGAUCCAUUGAAGACCACCAGUGGCGAAGGCGGCUUGCCAGAACGCGCUCGACGGUGAGGGAUGAAAGCUGGGGGAGCAAACCGGAUUAGAUACCCGGGUAGUCCCAGCUGUAAACGAUGCAGACUCGGUGAUGGGCUAGCCUUGUGCCAGCCCAGUGCCGCAGGGAAGCCGUUAAGUCUGCCGUCUGGGGAGUACGGUCGCAAGACUGAAACUUAAAGGAAUUGGCGGGGGAGCACCACAAGGGGUGAAGCCUGCGGUUCAAUUGGAUUCAACGCCGGAAAUCGAAUUCCCGCGGCC
RNAcentral lists this ribosomal RNA (945 nucleotides) under uncultured archaeon. Its description in RNAcentral is "bacterial SSU rRNA". It matches the Rfam family "Archaeal small subunit ribosomal RNA", at positions 1 to 940 of the family's 1478-position model. The record is from RNAcentral.